UCUGUAUGAUGAAAACAGGUGACGAGUCUGAUGUAAUACAUUCUAUUAAACCAUGUGGGCAAUAGAGGCAUUUGUCUGAGAGAA
Non-coding RNA from Triticum aestivum (bread wheat), 84 nucleotides. The record is from Rfam. Lineage: Eukaryota; Viridiplantae; Streptophyta; Magnoliopsida; Poales; Poaceae.